Molecule: small nuclear RNA, 107 nt
Organism: Monodelphis domestica (gray short-tailed opossum)
Lineage: Eukaryota; Metazoa; Chordata; Mammalia; Didelphimorphia; Didelphidae
Source: RefSeq, a predicted model, not a curated record
UUGGCAAAUUGGCAGCAUAUACACUAAAACUGGAACAACUCAGAGAAGAUCAGCAUGGCCUCUUGAGCAAGGAUGAAAAGCAAAUUCAUGAAGCAUUCCAGAUUUUU